This 800-nucleotide unclassified non-coding RNA is filed under the name Athalia rosae (coleseed sawfly). RNAcentral describes it as "misc RNA ENSAEAG00005011241.1". Lineage: Eukaryota; Metazoa; Arthropoda; Insecta; Hymenoptera; Athaliidae. The record is from RNAcentral.
ACCUCCAAAUAUCCAGACCAUGACGGCAGCGUUGGUUGGCCUAGGACGCGGGGUAACGACGUUCACGUAAAGACAAUCUUCGCUCAACGGAGUGUUCGGAUUCCACAUCAUAGCUCCCGGAAAAUCGCCAAAUACGGUGUCCAAUAUUUGUACGCAACUGUUGGGCGGCGUUGUUGUAUUCAAAAUACCCUCCCAACGUUCCGCUGGGCGUGGAUGUCGGAACCUCAACGGUCCUGGCGACGAACGAAUAGGAGAAGGAGAGAAAUGGAAAAGACAUUGACAUUGAUGGUUGCCGUGAGAGUUAUUCCUCUGACCUUGCCCUUCCUGGUUCUUAUCACCAUAUCGUCAUCGUUUGAAUUCAGGUUAAGGGAUUCUGGUUUAGGAAGGGAGUGCAAAUCACCCUUAAUAACUUCCUCGUGCGAUACGUCGGAAGCGGCGUGAUGACGACGUCCCCUGUGAGGAGGGGAAGAAACUGACGUAUCCACUUGAAUAAGCAGGAAUAAUAAGAUCGGGACGGCGGCAGUGGUUAAGAGUGUUGGAAAACCAGGAGAAUUCGAUGCCGUUCUUCUGCGAAGGAGUUGCGUCUUUCGAAUCCGAGCAGUCAUCGUUGUACGAAGAAAACUUUCACUAUCGGCUCUUUGCUGCUCUGCUAAAAAUGAUCUGCGGCAAACACAAAAUUAACUUGUACAGUUAAAUUAGUUGAAUCAAUUAGCAGCCGUUGGAAUAGAGUCUGUUUUUGUUUCUUUUCCUUUCUCUCGAAAUCAUCUCAAAUAAGAAGAGCUUGGAUAACCGACGGUUUA